RNAcentral lists this transfer RNA (74 nucleotides) under Chloroflexota bacterium. RNAcentral describes it as "Chloroflexi bacterium (hydrothermal vent metagenome) tRNA-Val". It matches the Rfam family "tRNA". From Rfam's summary of the family: Transfer RNA (tRNA) molecules are approximately 80 nucleotides in length. The record is from RNAcentral. Lineage: Bacteria; Bacillati; Chloroflexota.
GGGCGCGUAGCUCAGCUGGUUAGAGCGCCUCACUCACAUUGAGGAGGUCGGGGGUUCAAGUCCCUCCGCGCCCA